UUUCACCACUGAACACCUGGGUUGGGUUAUUUUGACCCAACCGGUUUGUUUAUUUUUCCUCUUCAUCGAAUUUUUUGGGUUCUUCACUCGUCUCAUCGUCAGACGGUCAAGCAACUCGCAGCAAGCAGGAUUAUAAGAAUUUGUUUUGCCUCCCAAAAAAAUUUGAGAAAUGGUGGAUUCGCAGCAAUGGGUCUACAAGCAUCCCAUAAAUCUUGAAGGAGUUCCCCAGGCUUCUAGAAAAACUUGGCAAGAUGCUAAAAGGGAGAGUGCUUUCAAAGUCCUGCCCACUCUGCUUCCCCAAUCAAUAUUCAAGAACGGAGGAAAGGUCUUCAGACCCACAACCACAGAAUCCUGGAAGUCAUUCAUCUGACGUAAAACCUGUGGGGACCAACAUGGUGAUGCAUUCCUGCACAUUCUGUGCCUCGGUGACGAGACAGCGACAUCCCACACCUUCGCCAUUGUUUCGGGGCAUGCCGUUGAAACGGACUUGUUGCUUGAGGCUGUUUAUCUUUUUUCAAGUCCUUUUUUGUGCUUGAUGUCAGCUACACUAACAUCUUCCUUCCUGGGAAUUUCUCCAGCAUGCAGUAUAUCAUAUUGAUGGACA
Long non-coding RNA from Onychostoma macrolepis, 604 nucleotides. RefSeq lists it as uncharacterized. The record is from RefSeq and is a predicted model, not a curated record. NCBI's taxonomy places the organism in Eukaryota, Metazoa, Chordata, Actinopteri, Cypriniformes, Cyprinidae. The transcript is spliced from 4 exons.